GAUGAACGCUGGCGGCGUGCCUAAUACAUGCCAGUCGAGCGAACGGACAAGAAGCUUGCUUCUCUGAUGGUAGCGGCGCACGGGUGAGUAACACGUGUAUAACCUACCUAUUAUACUGGGAUAACUUCGGUAAACCGGAGCUAUUAUCCGAUAAUAGUUUGAAACUCGUGGUUCAAAGGCGAGGUACGAUCUUGCUUUCACUUAUGGCUUGCUCCGCGCUGCAUUAGCUAUUUGGUAAGGUAACGGCUUACCAAGGCAACGAUGCAUAGCCGACCUGAGAGGGUGAUCGGCCACACUGGAACUGAGACAAGGUCCGGACUACUACGGGAGGCAGCAGUAGGGAAUCUUCCGCAAUGGGAGAGAGCCUGACGGAGCAACGCCGCGUGAGUGAUGGAGGUAUUCGGAUCGUAAAACUCUGUUAUUAGGGAAGAACAUAUGUGUAAGUAACUGUGCACAUCUUGACGGUACCUAAUCAGAAAGCCACGGCUAACUACGUG
RNAcentral lists this ribosomal RNA (497 nucleotides) under uncultured bacterium. RNAcentral's name for it is "partial 16S ribosomal RNA". It matches the Rfam family "Bacterial small subunit ribosomal RNA", at positions 28 to 507 of the family's 1533-position model. The record is from RNAcentral.